This 459-nucleotide ribosomal RNA is filed under the name uncultured bacterium. Its description in RNAcentral is "partial 16S ribosomal RNA". It matches the Rfam family "Bacterial small subunit ribosomal RNA", at positions 338 to 795 of the family's 1533-position model. The record is from RNAcentral.
CCUACGGGCGGCAGCAGUGAGGAAUAUUGGUCAAUGGGCGCGAGCCUGAACCAGCCAAGUCGCGUGCGGGAUGACGGCCCUAUGGGUCGUAAACCGCUUUUGUCCGGGGGUAAAACCCGCCACGUGUGGCGGUCUGAAAGUACCGUACGAAUAAGGAUCGGCUAACUCCGUGCCAGCAGCCGCGGUAAUACGGAGGAUCCGAGCGUUAUCCGGAUUUAUUGGGCUUAAAGGGUGCGUAGGCGGACGAUCAAGUCAGCGGUAAAAUCUCGAGGCUCAACCGCGGCCUGCCGUUGAAACUGGGCGUCUUGAGUGCAGAAGAGGUAGGCGGAAUGCGUGGUGUAGCGGUGAAAUGCAUAGAGAUCACGCAGAACUCCGAUUGCGAAGGCAGCAUACCGGGGUGCAACUGACGCUGAGGCACGAAAGUGUGGGUAUCAAACAGGAUUAGAUACCCUUGUAGUC